CAUGCAAGUCGAGCGAACGGACGAGAAGCUUGCUUCUCUGAUGUUAGCGGCGGACGGGUGAGUAACACGUGGAUAACCUACCUAUAAGACUGGGAUAACUUCGGGAAACCGGAGCUAAUACCGGAUAAUAUUUUGAACCGCAUGGUUCAAAAGUGAAAGACGGUCUUGCUGUCACUUAUAGAUGGAUCCGCGCUGCAUUAGCUAGUUGGUAAGGUAACGGCUUACCAAGGCAACGAUGCAUAGCCGACCUGAGAGGGUGAUCGGCCACACUGGAACUGAGACACGGUCCAGACUCCUACGGGAGGCAGCAGUAGGGAAUCUUCCGCAAUGGGCGAAAGCCUGACGGAGCAACGCCGCGUGAGUGAUGAAGGUCUUCGGAUCGUAAAACUCUGUUAUUAGGGAAGAACAUAUGUGUAAGUAACUGUGCACAUCUUGACGGUACCUAAUCAGAAAGCCACGGCUAACUACGUGCCAGCAGCCGCGGUAAUACGUAGGUGGCAAGCGUUAUCCGGAAUUAUUGGGCGUAAAGCGCGCGUAGGCGGUUUUUUAAGUCUGAUGUGAAAGCCCACGGCUCAACCGUGGAGGGUCAUUGGAAACUGGAAAACUUGAGUGCAGAAGAGGAAAGUGGAAUUCCAUGUGUAGCGGUGAAAUGCGCAGAGAUAUGGAGGAACACCAGUGGCGAAGGCGACUUUCUGGUCUGUAACUGACGCUGAUGUGCGAAAGCGUGGGGAUCAAACAGGAUUAGAUACCCUGGUAGUCCACGCCGUAAACGAUGAGUGCUAAGUGUUAGGGGGUUUCCGCCCCUUAGUGCUGCAGCUAACGCAUUAAGCACUCCGCCUGGGGAGUACGACCGCAAGGUUGAAACUCAAAGGAAUUGACGGGGACCCGCACAAGCGGUGGAGCAUGUGGUUUAAUUCGAAGCAACGCGAAGAACCUUACCAAAUCUUGACAUCCUUUGACAACUCUAGAGAUAGAGCCUUCCCCUUCGGGGGACAAAGUGACAGGUGGUGCAUGGUUGUCGUCAGCUCGUGUCGUGAGAUGUUGGGUUAAGUCCCGCAACGAGCGCAACCCUUAAGCUUAGUUGCCAUCAUUAAGUUGGGCACUCUAAGUUGACUGCCGGUGACAAACCGGAGGAAGGUGGGGAUGACGUCAAAUCAUCAUGCCCCUUAUGAUUUGGGCUACACACGUGCUACAAUGGACAAUACAAAGGGCAGCGAAACCGCGAGGUCAAGCAAAUCCCAUAAAGUUGUUCUCAGUUCGGAUUGUAGUCUGCAACUCGACUACAUGAAGCUGGAAUCGCUAGUAAUCGUAGAUCAGCAUGCUACGGUGAAUACGUUCCCGGGUCUUGUACACACCGCCCGUCACACCACGAGAGUUUGUAACACCCGAAGCCGGUGGAGUAACCUUUUAGGAGCUAGCCGUCGAAGGUGGGACAAAUGAUUGGGGUGAAGUCUA
RNAcentral lists this ribosomal RNA (1455 nucleotides) under Staphylococcus sp. 131Xb2. RNAcentral's name for it is "partial 16S ribosomal RNA". It matches the Rfam family "Bacterial small subunit ribosomal RNA". Lineage: Bacteria; Bacillati; Bacillota; Bacilli; Caryophanales; Staphylococcaceae. The record is from RNAcentral.